UACGGGGGGGGCAAGCGUUGUUCGGAAUUACUGGGCGUAAAGGGCUCGUAGGCGGCCAACUAAGUCGGAUGUGAAAUCCCUCGGCUCAACCGGGGAACUGCGUCUGAUACUGGGUGGCUUGAAUCCGGGAGAGGGAUGCGGAAUUCCAGGUGUAGCGGUGAAAUGCGUAGAUAUCUGGAGGAACACCGGUGGCGAAGGCGGCAUCCUGGACCGGCAUUGACGCUGAGGCGCGAAAGCCAGGGGAGCAAACGGG
RNAcentral lists this ribosomal RNA (253 nucleotides) under uncultured bacterium. RNAcentral describes it as "partial 16S ribosomal RNA". It matches the Rfam family "Bacterial small subunit ribosomal RNA", at positions 524 to 776 of the family's 1533-position model. The record is from RNAcentral.